This 101-nucleotide non-coding RNA is filed under the name human gut metagenome. RNAcentral describes it as "SAM riboswitch (S box leader)". It matches the Rfam family "SAM riboswitch aptamer (S box leader)". From Rfam's summary of the family: The SAM riboswitch is found upstream of a number of genes which code for proteins involved in methionine or cysteine biosynthesis in Gram-positive bacteria. RNAcentral also lists the same sequence under 1 other name. The record is from RNAcentral.
CUUAUCCAGAGCGGCGGAGGGAACAGGCCCUGUGAAGCCCGGCAACCGGACUCUUUUGAGUAGAAGGUGCCAAAUCCUGCGGAAGAUUCCGAGAGAUGAGG